UGAUGACGAGACGCUAAGGCGUUGAAGCAGUGUAUGUCAGACUUCCAAGAAAAGCUCGCAAUGUCACAAAUGAAAAAUGCCUGUACCAUAACCGACACAGGUGGGUAGGUAGAGUAUACUAAGGGGCGCGAGAUAACUCUCUCUAAGGAACUCGGCAAAAUGACUCCGUAACUUCGGGAGAAGGAGUGCCUUAUUUAUAAGGUUGCAAUAACAAGAUCCAAGCAACUGUUUAUCAAAAACACAGGUCUCCGCUAAGUCGUAAGACGAUGUAUGGGGGCUGACGCCUGCCCAGUGCCAGAAGGUUAAAGAAGUUGGUUAGUGUAUGCGAAGCUGAUGACUGAAGCCCUGGUGAACGGCGGCCGUAACUAUAACGGUCCUAAGGUAGCGAAAUUCCUUGUCGGGUUAGUUCCGACCCGCACGAAAGGCGUAAUGAUUUGGAUACUGUCUCGGAGAGAGGCUCGGUGAAAUAGACUUGUCUGUGAAGAUGCGGACUACCUGCACCAGGACAGAAAGACCCUAUGAAGCUUUACUGUAACUUGAAAUUGGAAUUGGACUUUGCUUGCGCAGUAUAGGUGGGAAGCGUUGAAAAUAUUCUUGCGGGAGUAUUGGAGCUAUCAGUGAGAUACCACUCUUGUAAUGUUAGAUUUCUAACUUUGAACCAUAAUCUGGUCAAAGAACAGUUUCAGGUGGGCAGUUUGACUGGGGCGGUCGCCUCCCAAAUGGUAACGGAGGCGUACAAAGGUUUCCUCUGAACGGAUAGAAAUCGUAUCUAGAGUGUAAAGGCAUAAGGAAGCUUGACUGUGAGACCUACAAGUCGAGCAGGGACGAAAGUCGGUCUUAGUGAUCUGACGGUACUGAGUGGAAAGGCCGUCACUCAACGGAUAAAAGUUACUCUAGGGAUAACAGGCUGAUCUCCCCCAAGAGUUCACAUCGACGGGGAGGUUUGGCACCUCGAUGUCGGCUCAUCGCAUCCUGGGGCGGUAGUACGUCCCAAGGGUUGGGCUGUUCGCCCAUGAAAGCGGUACGCGAGCUGGGUUCAGAACGUCGUGAGACAGUUCGGUCCAUAUCCGGUGUAGGCGCUAGAAUAUUGAGAGGAGCCUUCUUUAGUACGAGAGGACCGAGAAGGACACACCGCUGGUGUACCAGUUAUCGUGCCAACGGUAAACGCUGGGUAGCUAUGUGUGGAGUGGAUAACCGCUGAAAGCAUCUAAGUGGGAAGCCCACCUCGAGAUGAGUAUUC
RNAcentral lists this ribosomal RNA (1240 nucleotides) under metagenome. Its description in RNAcentral is "bacterial LSU rRNA". It matches the Rfam family "Bacterial large subunit ribosomal RNA", at positions 1564 to 2813 of the family's 2925-position model. The record is from RNAcentral.